RNAcentral lists this ribosomal RNA (497 nucleotides) under uncultured bacterium. Its description in RNAcentral is "partial 16S ribosomal RNA". It matches the Rfam family "Bacterial small subunit ribosomal RNA", at positions 28 to 507 of the family's 1533-position model. The record is from RNAcentral.
GACGAACGCUGGCGGCGUGCCUAAUACAUGCAAGUUGAGCGCUGAAGGUUGGUACUUGUACCAACUGGAUGAGCAGCGAACGGGUGAGUAACGCGUGGGGAAUCUGCCUUUGAGCGGGGGACAACAUUUGGAAACGAAUGCUAAUACCGCAUAAAAACUUUAAACACAAGUUUUAAGUUUGAAAGAUGCAAUUGCAUCACUCAAAGAUGAUCCCGCGUUGUAUUAGCUAGUUGGUGAGGUAAAGGCUCACCAAGGCGAUGAUACAUAGCCGACCUGAGAGGGUGAUCGGCCACAUUGGGACUGAGACACGGCCCAAACUCCUACGGGAGGCAGCAGUAGGGAAUCUUCGGCAAUGGACGAAAGUCUGACCGAGCAACGCCGCGUGAGUGAAGAAGGUUUUCGGAUCGUAAAACUCUGUUGGUAGAGAAGAACGUUGGUGAGAGUGGAAAGCUCAUAAAGUGACGGUAACUACACAGAAAGGGACGGCUAACUACGUG